This 742-nucleotide long non-coding RNA is filed under the name Rattus norvegicus (Norway rat). RNAcentral describes it as "long non-coding RNA NONRATT009331". The record is from RNAcentral. Lineage: Eukaryota; Metazoa; Chordata; Mammalia; Rodentia; Muridae.
UGCCACAUAAAAUAUACGUACAUGAGAGAGAAUGUGGCAUCAAUUUGGAUCCAUGUUUUAUGAUGUACAUGGCUUUUCACUUACCAUUCACUACCUUGUCGUUACCUUUGCUGUCAGAGCACGGGGUUGCAGAAUUAAGACUGGAUUCUAAAGACCAUAAGUACGUCCCAAGUUUGGGGACUGUAGAACUGUAGUUUUCAGGGACCCAGUGAACCAAGGAGACCUGGUUCUGGAGGAGGAAAGAAAUAAAGAGCUAUUUCACCAUCUGUCUUCAAGAAGACACAGUGUACAAGCCCUUUCUAGGGGAAAACAUUGUUUUAGCAGAUUAGAGCUGAGAAAGGUGUUUGAAGUAAUUAGGCCUCGGAGGCCGUUAACCCAGUGUGCUCGAAUCCCUUGGGGACAGGUACGUUUUGGACGAUGAAUAUAUCAGUUCUUCUGGAGCUAAGUUCCCAGUCAAGUGGUCCCCACCUGAAGUUUUUCAUUUCAACAAGUACAGUAGCAAGUCUGACGUCUGGUCAUUCGGAGUUUUAAUGUGGGAAGUUUUUACAGAAGGAAAAAUGCCCUUUGAGAAUAAGUCCAAUUUGCAAGUGGUGGAAGCCAUUUCUAAAGGUUUCCGGCUCUAUCGUCCUCACCUGGCCCCCAUGUCCAUAUACGGAGUUAUGUACAGUUGCUGGCAUGAGAGCCCUAAAGGCCGUCCGACAUUUGCUGAGUUGCUUCAGGUUCUCGCAGAGAUCGCGGAAAC